This 465-nucleotide ribosomal RNA is filed under the name uncultured bacterium. Its description in RNAcentral is "partial 16S ribosomal RNA". It matches the Rfam family "Bacterial small subunit ribosomal RNA", at positions 338 to 795 of the family's 1533-position model. The record is from RNAcentral.
CCUACGGGAGGCUGCAGUGGGGAAUUUUGCGCAAUGCUCGUAAGAGUGACGCAGCGACGCCGCGUGAAUGACGAAGGCCUUCGGGUCGUAAAGUUCUUUCGACAGGGAAGAAAAUGCCUAUAAGUAACUGUGUAUGUAUUGACGGUACCUGUAUAAGCAGCCCCGGCUAACUCCGUGCCAGCAGCCGCGGUAAUACGGAGGGGGCGAGCGUUGUCCGGAGGGACUGGGCGUAAAGAGCACGUAGGCGGUGUUGUAAGUCAUUAGUCAAAGACUAGAGCUCAACUUUAGUAAGGCUAGUGAUACUAUAAUACUAGAGUAUCAGAGAGGAUUGCAGAAUUCCUGGUGUAGCGGUGAAAUGCGUAGAUAUCAGGAGGAAUACCGUUAGCGAAGGCGGCAAUCUGGCUGGAAACUGACGCUGAGGUGCGAAAGCGUGGGUAGCAAACAGGAUUAGAUACCCUUGUAGUC